UUAAAUGUCAGUGGCAGCCACUGU
RNAcentral lists this non-coding RNA (24 nucleotides) under Arabidopsis thaliana (thale cress). The record is from RNAcentral. Lineage: Eukaryota; Viridiplantae; Streptophyta; Magnoliopsida; Brassicales; Brassicaceae.